GGAAACCUUGUUACGACUUCUCCUUCCUCUAAAUGAUAAGGUUCAGUGGACUUCUCGCGACGUCGCGGGCGGCGAACCGCCCCCGUCGCCUCGAUCCGAACACUUCACCGGACCAUUCAAUCGGUAGGAGCGAC
Molecule: ribosomal RNA, 134 nt
Filed under: Liliopsida environmental sample
Lineage: Eukaryota; Viridiplantae; Streptophyta; Magnoliopsida
Description: partial 18S ribosomal RNA
Source: RNAcentral